Molecule: long non-coding RNA, 3575 nt
Organism: Argiope bruennichi
Lineage: Eukaryota; Metazoa; Arthropoda; Arachnida; Araneae; Araneidae
Exons: 10
Source: RefSeq, a predicted model, not a curated record
UAUGGAAUUUUUGAGUUAGUUGUUUUAAUAAAGAUAUUAGAAUUUGAAUGAAAAUAAGUUGAUGUUAACUUGGUAAUAUAUAUAUAAUGUUGUAAGAUUUCGUUUAAUAGUAAAUUUGUCUGUAUCCCAUUUUUGCUGAUUCACGAACGCAACAACAUAAAGAAAAAUUCGGGAUAGCAAACUCAAAGAAUUCUUCAAGUAAGAAGCAUUAUAUGUCUAUCUGAAAUGUUUUGAAAGAUUGUGGAUUGGAAAAUAAGUCUUAAAUUCUCCGUUUUGGCACAAUCAUUUCAGGCACUGGUUGCAUCAACAAUGCUGUAUGUAGAACUGUAUGCAGUUGUGGCACAAACUUCUCCCAUCUUGAACUUUGGAGUCCGACAGCAGCGCCGCUGUAUUCGAAUCAGUUGACACCGAGAUCUUCUGUACUUUGGGUUAGACUGUAACUGGAAUUUAAGACGUCUUUAAUUCUACAUAUCAUUUGUGUUUAUGUCCGUGAAGUGUGAAUAAUUGUUUCGUCUCAAAGAAUGUGGAUUAUUUUUGCAAAAGUGAUAUUAUUACUCAUCUAUACUGGCGGUCUUGGAAUAUAAGCCAACUACUAAACUAUUUAUUGAUGGGAAAUUUAACAAAUCCAAGACUUCAGAUUGGACUGAUUUGCACAAUUCUGUAACAAAUCAAGUUGUGACAAGAAUGCUUAAAUCUACCAAAGAUGAAAUGGAAUGAGCAGUUGCCAGUGCAAAAGAAAUAUUUCAAACUUGGUCCAAUACAUUAAUUCUUACUCGACAGUAGACUAUGUUCAGGUUGCAGUAUUUAAUAAAAGAGAAUAUGGUAAUAUCAUUUGUGUUCUUUAGGGUUGUUUCUAUUUAUACUGGAUUUGUGAUUUAAACAUUUUUAAAAUCUUACUGAUUUUUGAUAAUAUUAUCAAACAAUACAUCUCAUUGAAUUUUAGAAAAAAAAAAAUCCUAUCAAACUAUUAAAUAUAAUUAACAAUAAGAUUGAUCCACGAAGUGUUUUAGAUAUUUAUUUUUACUUUCAUUUGUAAGAUUUUUUAUUUAAUGCAAAAAUGGCAAAAGGAACUCUUCAAAUUUUACAAUGUUAUUAAUUCUCAGUGACGUAGUACAUGGAUAUGAGUUCUGAAUUUUAUUUGGGAAAUAUUUAUGUGAGUCCCAGAUGUCUGAAAUUAUAAUUUAAAAUAGAAAUUGAGAGCAUUAAUUAAUAUAAUUAAUUUUUAAUUAAAGCUAACACUGAAAAAUUGAAAAUUAUUUUUGCUAGCUUGCUCUACCCACUCCCCCCGAUUAUUUGGCUGAUCGUUCAUGAAAACAUUUAUAUCUAAUUAAUGAUUUUAUUUUUGUAUUUAAUUUAUAUAUAUCGUGUAGUUUUACAGUCAAAAGUUUGCAAGAAUAUUUACUGAGUAAGGAAUUAUUUACAGAGUAAAAUAAUUCCUUAAGUCUUAACAAAACAAGCAAUAACUGUUAAAAACAAGUGAAUUAAUUCCACUUGUGAAUUUUGCAGCUAAACUAGUUAAUAAUGUAUGAAAGAAUCCAGUAUUCAUCUUCAAUGUAAUUUAAAAAGAAUCCAAUCUAAAUGCCUAAAAUGAAAUAUAUGCAUUUAGUAUGCAGCAAAAUACAUGCAGUAAAUGAGGAAAUCUAGAACUAUGGAAUGUUCUGAAAUUAUUGCAAACAGGGGCUAUAAUUUGAAUUUUUAUAAGAUAUUUUCAAUGAAAUUAUCUUUAUAGUUGGCCAACAGUUAGUGCAAACUGCAUGAUUGUCACUAAAAAUAAAGGAGUACGUUAUUUUUAGGCAUAUUGUAGUACAUGAAAUCACUGCUGACUGUAUAUGACAUAUGAAGUGUAGCAUUACAUAUAAGAUAAUUGCACUUUUUUUUUUAUUUCUUCAUAAAUGUUAUACAAAUACAUUUACAGCAUUAUACAAAUUUUUGGUUAAAAUAUUAGUUUAAAGAAAAUAUCAUACUUCAAUGCAGUGACUGGGUAUCUUAAGUCUUCGGUUAGUAUUGUAAAGUCUCGAUCCAAAAACAGGUAGCGAUAUGAUCAAAUUUUUUUAUUUACAGCUUUAUUACAUAAAAACAACUCUUUCUAAUCUAGGUUAAAUGAAUGAUGCUAUUUACAACACGAAAAUUACACAAGAAUAGUUCCUCGAACUAUUUCGAAGGAAACAACUUUACAAGAACAGCUAACAGGCUGUUGGCGUCUUAGGCUACUCCGGGGGUAGCUCUCGGAAUCCACCGAAUUUUCUUCGGGUGGAAUUCUACGCAGAAGUCCGAUUCACACGAAGUUUCUCCUCCUUGGUUCACACGAAGCUCCUCUCCGUCUUCUUCCGAAAAAUCUCACCUUUUAUUUUCCUCUCAGACUCCCUGUUACCCAAUCACCGUUCAGAACAACCUGAAUCGUCUCUGGUCGCCCGUGGGAAAAUGUCCAUUGAUGAUUCACCCUCCACCAUGGGAAAAAUGCAGGACAUCUGGAGUGUUUGACACUGUCGCCUUUCGAAGACACGAUUUAUUUCCCUGGGAAACGCACGUGUGGUUCCUUAUCUGGAUUAGCACUAAAUGGCCAGAUGACCGUACUUAAAAGGAGGAUCUUCCAUUUGGCAAUCUGGAGGCACUUAACACUGUGGGAGUUUCGUUGAUGAAGAAUGGCCCGGAAUGUACAUUAUCGAGUGUGGGAAAAAGGAAUGUCACAGUGGUCACCCAGGAAGAAGCUGAUUCAUUACAAGGUUGUGGAGUUAUAUCCUUACAGUUGGGAGAAACCUUACCAUCAAUAUCUCGAGACAUGGAUACCACAUCAUAUCACUUUCCUCUUGGAAUGUGUACUGAUAUUUGCACCAUUUAAUUUUCCUGCAAUGAUACGUUUUUAGAUGUUUCCUCUAGCAUUGGUAUGUGGUAAUACUAUGAUUCUCAAACUAUCUGAAAGAGAUCCAGGUGCCACAAUGAUUUUCAUGGAGUUAGCAAAAGAAGCUGGUAUACCUGAUGGCGCUGUUAAUGUAAUUCAUGGCGCACAUGAAGGAUAAAUAGGUCUAUGAACGAGGCUCCAAGAAUGUCAAACGUGUGCAAUGUAAUAUGGGUGCUAAAAUUCAUGGAGUUAUAAUGCCAGAUGCAAAAAAAAAAAGAAAAGAAAGCAUGCUCUAAAUCAGCUUAUAGGUACAGCAUUCGGAGCAGCAGGUCAGCGUUGUAUGGCCUUAUUGUUUUUGUUGAAGAAUCACUGAAAUGGAUUUCAGGUUUUACAGAAAAAUAAGAUCUUGGACCUGUCAUAUCACCUGGAAGCCAAAAAGAGAAUUUGCAAUUUAGUUGAAUCAGGAGUAAAGGAGGGUGCCAAAUUGUUGUUGGAUGGAAGAGGCUUUGUAGUUCCAGGUUUUGAAAAAGGAAACUUUGUUGGUCCGACUAUUCUUUCUGAUGUGAAGGGUGUCAAUUUCUACAUGCAGCUGAAGACGAUAACCCAGUUGUGGAGGGAACAAGAUGCUACUGAUUCUAAAGUAGCAACGAGCAUGCCAGUCAUAAAGUAAAUAACAUGAAGUGCCAAUAUGUCUUCCAAAGAUGAAUUUAUUAUUAAUAAAAUUUUGGAGUUGGAG